This 488-nucleotide ribosomal RNA is filed under the name uncultured Staphylococcus sp. RNAcentral's name for it is "bacterial SSU rRNA". It matches the Rfam family "Bacterial small subunit ribosomal RNA", at positions 8 to 478 of the family's 1533-position model. The record is from RNAcentral. Lineage: Bacteria; Bacillati; Bacillota; Bacilli; Caryophanales; Staphylococcaceae.
AGAGUUUGAUCCUGGCUCAGGAUGAACGCUGGCGGCGUGCCUAAUACAUGCAAGUCGAGCGAACAGAUAAGGAGCUUGCUCCUUUGACGUUAGCGGCGGACGGGUGAGUAACACGUGGGUAACCUACCUAUAAGACUGGAAUAACUCCGGGAAACCGGGGCUAAUGCCGGAUAACAUUUAGAACCGCAUGGUUCUAAAGUGAAAGAUGGUUUUGCUAUCACUUAUAGAUGGACCCGCGCCGUAUUAGCUAGUUGGUAAGGUAAUGGCUUACCAAGGCAACGAUACGUAGCCGACCUGAGAGGGUGAUCGGCCACACUGGAACUGAGACACGGUCCAGACUCCUACGGGAGGCAGCAGUAGGGAAUCUUCCGCAAUGGGCGAAAGCCUGACGGAGCAACGCCGCGUGAGUGAUGAAGGGUUUCGGCUCGUAAAACUCUGUUAUUAGGGAAGAACAAACGUGUAAGUAACUGUGCACGUCUUGACGGUAC